GAUGAACGCUGGCUACAGGCUUAACACAUGCAAGUCGAGGGGCAGCAUGGGGUUUGCUUGCAAACCCCGAUGGCGACCGGCGCACGGGUGAGUAACGCGUAUCCAACCUUCCCGCGACUCGGGUAUAACCUGCCGAAAGGCAGACUAAUCCCCGAUGUCCUCCACUUUGGGCAUCUUUGGUGGAGCAAAGGCUUCGGCCGGUUGCGGACGGGGAUGCGUCCGAUUAGCUUGUUGGCGGGGCAAUGGCCCACCAAGGCUUCGAUCGGUAGGGGUUCUGAGAGGAAGGCCCCCCACAUUGGAACUGAGACACGGUCCAAACUCCUACGGGAGGCAGCAGUGAGGAAUAUUGGUCAAUGGGCGGAAGCCUGAACCAGCCAAGUAGCGUGCAGGACGACGGCCCUAUGGGUUGUAAACUGCUUUUAUGCGGGGAUAACCGGGGCCACGCGUGGCCCCCUGCAGGUACCGCAUGAAUAAGGACCGGCUAAUUCCGUGCCAGCAGCCGCGGUAAUACGGAAGGUCCGGGCGUUAUCCGGAUUCAUUGGGUUUAAAGGGAGCGUAGGCCGUGGAUUAAGCGUGUUGUGAAAUGUAGGCGCUCAACGUCUGACUUGCAGCGCGAACUGGUCCACUUGAGUGUGCGCGACGCAGGCGGAAUUCGUGGUGUAGCGGUGAAAUGCUUAGAUAUCACGAGGAACCCCGAUUGCGAAGGCAGCUUGCGGGAGCACCACUGACGCUGAGGCUCGAAGGUGCGGGUAUCGAACAGG
This 761-nucleotide ribosomal RNA is filed under the name uncultured Prevotella sp. RNAcentral describes it as "bacterial SSU rRNA". It matches the Rfam family "Bacterial small subunit ribosomal RNA", at positions 28 to 776 of the family's 1533-position model. The record is from RNAcentral. Lineage: Bacteria; Pseudomonadati; Bacteroidota; Bacteroidia; Bacteroidales; Prevotellaceae.